CACGGGCCCGCUCCGUAGCGGAGAUGCGUCCGGCCCCGAGGGCGCGGCGGGCUGCGAGUCCCUGACCCACGGCCCAGAGUAGGAGCCCGCUCUGCCCCGCGCUCCUCGGUCCCGAGCCUGCAGUGGACCUCGGGCCGCAGGCGCCUCCGCAUGUGGCAGCGCAGUUAGGUGAGUGCUGGUUCCAGCCGGAUGGGGUAAGCCCGACCUGCGGGGGUUGGGGCCACCCAGACCCGGGUUAAGGCUGCAGAGUGGAGCAGGACGAGCUGAAAAGGAACCAGUGAUGCGGCCGGCCGGGGUGAGAACAUCGGGGCGGUCAAGGCUGCAGGAAGGUGAGAGCCUCGGGUCGGGUGCGGAGUCCUCGCUGGACAGACACCCCGAGGCUGAGAGGCUCAAGUCCUCCUUUCCGGGUAGCGGGGCGAACUGCGUCUCAGACUCCAGAGCACAGACAGGGCAGAGGCCGCACCCUAGAAACAAGGUUAAGCUGUGACAGGAGGAGUGAUGUCCUUGAAAUUGAUAUUUGCCGAAUAAGAAAAGAAAGAAGGCCGGGGGACUGGCAGUGAAAAUUGAUGCAGAAAUGUGAGUGAUCAGAACACUGGGCUUCAGAGUCUUUGAUACAACAGGCUUGUCAAAAUUAAAUCAAAGAACAUUAUGUAUAAAUAAUGAUCGAUGAUCAGGAUUAUCAGAAUGUGAGCAAUUACCAAAGAAACAGGGCUAAACAGCAUUACUGACACAACACUUGCACUUCAAAAUAAUACAAUAAUAGUCACUUUCAAAAUCCAGUGAAAAUAGUAAUCAUAGCUUAUAAGGAUUAAAAACAAAGUAACUAGAUAUAGAAACAAUGUAAGAGUAGUAUAUUAAAAUGAAUAGCAAUUGUAUAACAUGAUAAUAAUGUAACAAAGUACUAAACUACAGGCAACUCGAAGAAGCAAAUUGUAGGAAAAGAUGAACUAUGAAAAAUACUAUUAAGGAAAAUACUAUUAGUUUUGCUAGACUACUAUCGCAUAAUGUAUUAUUGACACCAUAGUGAAGUAUUAAAACAGAGCAAAAUCUCAGGAGCAAUAGCAAUAUAAAUACACAGUGAUAAGAAUUGUUGGAGUAAUAUGACAAUUUAUGACCAAGGUAUUAAUAGUCACAACAACAUUAUAAAUAAUGGUCGAGCAAUAAGAAAUAUUGUUUCAAUGUGAUGAAAAAUAAUCAGACUAUUAAGAACCACAGCAAUAUUACAAAUUAUGACAAAGUAACAAGCAGUAAUGAUGUGAUGAAAAAUAAGGAGCGAAUUAAGAUCUGUAACAUUACAAAUAAUGACAAAGUAACAAGAUACUGUAACGAUGUGAUGAAGAAUAUUACCUAGAGUAUUAGGAGCAAUCCUAAUAAAACAAAUUGUAGUACGAUAAUAAGAAAUAUAAGGAUUGACAAAAUUAAUAUGAAUAUUGAGAACAACGCUAUUACAAGUUAUGGAAAAUAACAUGUUAUUCAAAAGAUGUGACAAAGUCUAAGGACAAUGAAGAGCUAGAAACGGAAACAUUUUUGGGAUACAGAGUAAAAUUAAAAUAAGGAAGGAUUAGCCCGACCUAUUGGAAUCCGAUUACCUAGAUAUUGGCAACACUAUUACUAAUGGGCCAGGGUUCCCUGGAAGGCUGAAGCGGUUACAGGAAAGCAACGACAACAUAUUUAAUACUGAUAAAUUAAUGAAUCUAACCAGUGCUUUAACCACACAUUAUUAAAGAUAAAAAGCACUGACAAUUCACAUGCGAGGGUAAAUACAGUUAACGUUACUUGAACUGAUACUGCUCUGAUAAUGGGGGCAAAUAUUAAAACUAGUAAAAAUAGCAACAAUUUUCCCACUGUGAGAAAAAUAUUACUAAGUAAUCUAAAAGUGAAAAGAAAAAUGUUGCCGUCCUUGGAAAAUGAGGCAGUCGAAAGCCACAAACCCCAGUUCGGAAGGAGCGGAGCCCACGGCCGCGGCCGCGGAGGGCCAACGGAAGGGUGCGGCGCAGAGCUCCAGUCCGGCCCGCGGCGGGGUGCGGGACCCCAAGGAGCGCGCGGGGCUCGGGGUCCGAGGGAACUGCGGGGACCGCCGCUCAGGGUCGGGCUGGGGGAAAGGACACUGGCGGGGAUCUUCGGAGAAAGUUAGUUGUCUCGAGGUUAGCGUGUGGCUCCGACGCCUGGAAGAGGAGGCCAGCUCCGAGGAGGGAAGGGGAGCGGAGCGUAACCUCCGUCGCCAGUGCGCGCAGAGGGCCUGUGUCCGUGGUUGUGCUCUGCACUCCAGCAGGGCUGAGUGUGGGGUGCGAGCCGACCGGCUCCCCAGUGCGGCUCCGGGUGCGGCAAGUGCCUGGCAGAGGACUUGGUAGCCAGGUCCCCGCCCCGCCCCUCGAGCCGCCGCACCUAGGAGCCUCCAUCCCGGGGCCCACAUCGAGUGGGAACCGUGCUUUGCCCACAACCCGCAUGUGGCCUAAGAUGGGUGCUGGGGACAGCCUUGUCCCGGCGGGAGCCCUGUUCCCUGCUGGCUGUGGCCGAGGACUCUCUGGGCUGUCAGGCUUAUCUUUAUGGGCUUUUCCCAGCCCCAGCUGGCCCCGGCCCCUUUUUAUCUCCUGGUUGCACUUGGCUUGUUUACUUUGCCGGCCCUGGGAGCCUAACUUAAACCCAGGAUGGGGAGUCUGGGGAGAUCCAGGAGAGAACAGAAAAAGAGUAGAAGAAAGCGGAGACACUGCCCCACACAACAGACAGGCAGUCAGACACACAGAGAGCCCACCUGAACUUGGCCAGAUUCAGAGCAUGGACAACCAGGCAGGGAGGAAGGAAAGCAGGGAUAGUGCAGGCUGCACCCCCUCCUGGGGGGAUGCUGGUCUUUGCAAGCUGAGCUUUUUUCCUGGUAUCCCAGGACCAGCUGCAGGCUGGGAGCAGUUAUAAGGGUGGGUGGGAAAAUAGGCCCAGGCACUUGGGGCUAUAGAGCUGAGGCAAAACUACGCUGUGCCUGGGAGCUGGACCCGUGCUACUCGCCUGUCCCCAUCCAGGAAGGGUCUGGGUCCUUUGGCCCCAAGGAGAGCCCUCUGGAACUAAAGUGAGAGGGUGAGCCAGUGGGUGUGAGUGUGCGGACAGGCUGGGAGGGCCCUGGCAGAGUUUAGGGCCCGAGGUGAGGUGAGGAGGAGGCUGCGUGUGGAUGCUGUGUCCUCCUGUGAGGAUGUGUGUGCCCCAGUGGAAAUGCGCAGGAGUGAAGCCUUUGGUUCAGGAACCCAGUGCCAUCUGAGGGCAGACGAGUGAGCAGAGGUGAAAGGGCCGCCCAGCUCUCGCUCUCUCUGCAGGAGAUGCUGCAGGACAAGGGCCUGUCGGAGAGCGAGGAGGCCUUCCGGGCCCCGGGCCCAGCGCUCGGCGAGGGCAGCGCCGCCACCGCCCCCGAGCCCGCGCUGGCAGCGCCGGGCCUCAGCGGAGCCGCGCUCGGUAGCCCCCCGGCCCCAGGCACCGACGUCUCCGCCGCCACCGCCGCCGAGCAG
Long non-coding RNA from Heterocephalus glaber (naked mole-rat), 3491 nucleotides. Lineage: Eukaryota; Metazoa; Chordata; Mammalia; Rodentia; Bathyergidae. The record is from Ensembl.